GAUUAGCGGCGGACGGGUGAGUAACACGUGAGUAACCUGCCUUAGACAUUGGGAUAGCCUCGGGAAACCGGGAUUAAUACCAAAUAAAAUCAUAAUGACACAUGUCAUAACGAUCAAAACUCCGGUGGUCUAAGAUGGACUCGCGUCCCAUUAGCUAGUUGGUAGAGUAAAAGCCUACCAAGGCGACGAUGGGUAGCCGGCCUGAGAGGGUGAACGGCCACAUUGGAACUGAGAAACGGUCCAA
This 244-nucleotide ribosomal RNA is filed under the name uncultured Eubacteriales bacterium. RNAcentral's name for it is "uncultured Clostridiales bacterium partial 16S ribosomal RNA". It matches the Rfam family "Bacterial small subunit ribosomal RNA", at positions 90 to 334 of the family's 1533-position model. The record is from RNAcentral. Lineage: Bacteria; Bacillati; Bacillota; Clostridia; Eubacteriales.